UUGACAAUCUUAUCGUGAAGGCAUACUUUCAGGGGUGAGGGUAGAGCGGGGUUUCCCCCGCCCUGGUAGUCUUAGUAAGCUGGCCAGCUAAUGACUAAGAGCACCACGAUGAUGAGUACGAAAGCCAUCAUGACCCUUUCCUUACU
This 146-nucleotide small RNA is filed under the name Escherichia coli. RNAcentral's name for it is "Short Intergenic Abundant RNA". It matches the Rfam family "Short Intergenic Abundant RNA". From Rfam's summary of the family: This family contains multiple ncRNA from E. coli that were identified in a large scale screen of E. coli, were they were called candidates 43,55 and 61. These RNAs have also been identified by other groups and called QUAD RNAs. The record is from RNAcentral. Lineage: Bacteria; Pseudomonadati; Pseudomonadota; Gammaproteobacteria; Enterobacterales; Enterobacteriaceae.